RNAcentral lists this unclassified non-coding RNA (192 nucleotides) under uncultured Exophiala. RNAcentral's name for it is "sequence contains ITS1". Lineage: Eukaryota; Fungi; Ascomycota; Eurotiomycetes; Chaetothyriales; Herpotrichiellaceae. The record is from RNAcentral.
ACGAGUUAGGGUCUCACCGGCCCGAUCUCCCAACCCUUUGUCUACUUGACCAUCGUUGCUUCGGCGAGUCCGUCCUCACGGACCGCCGGAGGGCCUUCAUCAGCCCUCUGGCCCGCGCUCGUCGAUAGCCCAACCUUAAAAAAUCUUAACUAAACGUGUCUUGAAUCUAAGUAUUAUUGUUAAAUAAAAACA